RNAcentral lists this long non-coding RNA (1526 nucleotides) under Phaseolus vulgaris (common bean). Its description in RNAcentral is "long non-coding RNA (PVUL_LNC001940)". Lineage: Eukaryota; Viridiplantae; Streptophyta; Magnoliopsida; Fabales; Fabaceae. The record is from RNAcentral.
UGUAAUUGUUUUACAGUCAUUUCUUAGAGGGCCAUGAAGCAAGGUGAAGAUGAUGAUGAUGAUACAGUACCAAAGAGCAAAGAGAGGAUGCAGAAAAGUGACUGAGUUUUGGUAACUGCUUACAACAACAACCAAGUAAAGAAUAUGUAACAGCAUAUGAUACACUUAGUGGAACUUGAGACUGGUCAAGACAUUGUUGUUGACAGGGUCUGCAAGAUGAUCUAAGAGGUUUUGGUAUGGCCCAACACCUGUCACAAGAGCUUGAAUAAAGUAACCCAAAAUUGCCAACAUAGCCAACCUUCCAUUCUUCACCUCCUUCAGCUUCAAAUCCUUCAAGGAUUUCUCAUCUUUCCCAAAACCAAGAGGGUUGAAGAGAGGUCCUCCUGGGUAUGCUGGCUCACCAGAACCUCCAAGACCCUUCUCUAGUCCUAAGAAGUACUGUUUCCCCAUUGAGCCUGGUUUUGCCCAAUCUUGGAAUCUUCUGUGCUCUGCAAAUCCCAUCAGUGCCAUCUCAAACACAAAGAGGGUGUAGGAGUCUGCCCAGUAGUUGUAGGUUCCUGCAGGUGGGACCACACCGGUUCUGAACCAUGGCAGUGCUGUUUCCUCAGGGAUCAGACCAGCCUUGCCAAGAAUUUCAGGUGCUAUGGAACCUACUGCACCCAACAUUGCAAAACGACCAUUGAUGACUUCACCAUAUGCUAGCCAUUUGGGCUCAAUGAACCCUCCUGUUCCUUCAGGGUCUGAAAGCCCAAGAGGGUCAAAUCCAUAGUCACCAGGAAGACUGCAAACCAAAUGAUGCCAAACAAAGUCAAUUCCACCACCUUCAUACUAUAUAUCUAUUAUUUCACUCUUCUAAAUUGCUUAAAUUUCAAAGUAUUUUGUUUUAUUAAGAAGUUUGUUUUAAUUGGCUUAUAAGACUAUGUUUGUAACACUUAUAUACUGUGAAAUACUCUAAUUUCCAAUCCAUUCCUCAUGCCGUCGACCUCAUACAGUCAAGAGUUAUAGAUGGUCUAAUAUCCGAUAAUAGGUGACAGGUCACACGAUACAUUCAACAAACUCUAUAAACUUUUAAAUGAAUUUAUAACAUGUUAAUUAAGAAGAAGUGGAAUUUAGCAGUUCAGUUUUAUUCUCUUAUGCUAUAGGUGAUUUACCUGCCAUCCAAGUAAGAAAGACUUUGCUUUGAUGCAAACCAUAAGGGUCUGUCUGCUCCUUGCUGAACUCCAAAAGGAAGAAACUUUUAUAAGCAUACAUCAUGAAGAUGAAUAAGACACAAAAAAAAAAGGAGUGAGUGUGAGAGAGGAAGAGACCUUGACAGGGGGAGUAGAAGCUGCCUUGACAAUGAAGGAUUGUUUUCGGGAGAACCCAAUGGGAGAUUGGAGUGAUCUUGGUCCAAGACUCUGUCUUGCAGACUCAGAUGAGAAGACAAGAGAUGAAGAUGGUAGCAGAGCUUGUGCAGCCAUGGUGGUCAGUGCUCCUUUUGUUGCUUUGCAAUUGGUGCAGCAGAAGAGAGUAAUGUUGAAGAUGAG